CUCAUCUGUGGUCAAAAGCACGGGAGUGAUGUGCCUCCAGUAACUGGUCUGUGAUCACGUGCAUGAAAUAGGAAAUUGCAACUUUGCGAUUGGCUGCGAGAGAUACGCGUGGAUACGCGGUACGUAAAGUACGCUCCAUGUGACGGAACCCGUAUAUUUGUUGGGGAAAGUAACGUUUACUAAAAAUCUAUAAAAUUGGAUUGAGAAGUGUAAUUCCCUAAAAGGACAUUAUUAAUAUUAUUCUCAAAUGAAUAAAAAUGAAUUCAUGAACACAUACGGUCCGCUCGUUGGUGCAAUUGAUGAGGGAACAAGUAGUGCUCGAUUUUUGGUAUUUGCUGCAAAUACUGCUGAAGUAUUAACUUAUCAUCAAGUGCCAAUUUCACAAUCCUGUCCUAAGGAAGGAUGGGUUGAACAAGAUGCAAAAGAAAUAUUAGCUGCAGUUCAAGAAUGUUUGAAACAAACUGUAUUCAAUCUCCGACAACUGACUAUAGAUCCAUCAGAUAUUGUAGCUCUUGGUAUUACAAACCAAAGAGAAACAACUGUAGUGUGGGAUUCACAGACUGGGGAACCAUUAUACAAUGCUAUAGUAUGGAUGGACAUGAGAACUACAAGUAUAGUUGAUGAAAUACUUAAGGGUGUGCGUAAUCAGAAUAAAAACUACCUCAAACCACUUUGUGGAUUACCAAUUAGUCCUUACUUCAGUGCUUUAAAACUCAAAUGGUUAUUGGAAAACGAGCCUAAAGUGCAACAGGCUAUACGUGAAAAGCGCUGUAUGUUUGGUACCAUUGAUUCCUGGUUGAUAUGGAACUUGACCGGUGGUAUCAAUGGUGGCGUUCAUAGCACAGAUGUAAGCAAUGCCUCAAGAACAAUGCUAAUGAAUAUCAAUACUUUGAAAUGGGACAAUACACUGCUGUCCUUUUUUAAAAUACCUCGUGAGAUAUUACCAGAAAUACGUAGUUCCUCAGAAGUUUAUGGACAUAUACAAGAAGGAGUAAUGCGCGGAGUACCGAUUUCUGGGUGUCUCGGAGAUCAGCAAUCUGCUCUAGUUGGUCAGAUGUGCUUCCAUCAGGGUCAAGCAAAAAGCACUUAUGGUACUGGCUGCUUUUUACUUUACAACACUGGAACUGCAAUCGUAGAUUCAUCUCACGGAUUGCUGACAACUGUAGCUUACCAGUUGGGUGCAAAUGUCCCUCCAGUUUACGCAUUGGAGGGAUCAGUCGCUAUAGCCGGUGCCGUUGUGCAAUGGUUAAAAGAUAAUCUAGGUAUUUUAUCAAAUAUUUCCGAAUGCGAAUCGGUCGUCGAAAAGCUUUCAUCGGAAAAUCGUGUAACCUUCGUACCAGCAUUUGCUGGUCUCUAUGCACCAUAUUGGAGAAAGGAUGCUAGAAGUGUGAUAUGUGGUAUUACAGAAGACACUAACAGUGCUCACAUUGUGAAGGCAGCCUUGCAAUCUGUGUGUUUUCAAACGAGAGACAUUUUGGAAGCAAUGAAACAGGAUACUGGUCUAUCACUCUCGGAAUUAUUAGUGGAUGGCGCUAUGACGAAGAAUAAUUUAUUAAUGCAAAUGCAAGCUGAUAUUUGUGGCAUUCCUGUGGGAAGUCAGACCUUUGAUGUGUGAAACAACUGCUCUUGGCGUAGCUAUUGCUGCGGGAAGUGCUGAAGGAGUUCGUAAGUGGGACCUUAAGAUUGACGCUAUGGUACCCAGUGACGUGUUUGUGCCAUCUAUAACUGAAAAUGAACGCGAUAUACUUUACUCACAAUGGAAAAUGGCCAUCGAACGUAGCUUAGGCUGGGAGCCUUGUUUGGACUCAGAUGACGAAACGAAGGAUGUUCAUGCAGCUACCAGUACUGGUCUGUUUGUAAUGGGUACCGUGAUUCUUCUAAUGAUUGCAAAAUAUAGAUCAAAUCUGUGACUCGGGUUUUGGAUAACAUGCAUUGCAUUUUAGUCAAAUAAACAAUAACUUAAAUUAUCUUGA
Molecule: RNA transcript, 1973 nt
Organism: Cephus cinctus (wheat stem sawfly)
Lineage: Eukaryota; Metazoa; Arthropoda; Insecta; Hymenoptera; Cephidae
Gene name: glycerol kinase
Exons: 10
Source: RefSeq, a predicted model, not a curated record